UAAUCAGGGAACUCGCGGUAAGAUUGGGC
This 29-nucleotide non-coding RNA is filed under the name Rattus norvegicus (Norway rat). Lineage: Eukaryota; Metazoa; Chordata; Mammalia; Rodentia; Muridae. The record is from RNAcentral.